Molecule: long non-coding RNA, 1251 nt
Organism: Oreochromis aureus
Lineage: Eukaryota; Metazoa; Chordata; Actinopteri; Cichliformes; Cichlidae
Source: Ensembl
GUUUUUUGAAUGUUAAUUCCUAUUUUUGAAGCGUCAAACAAACAGUAUAUAAGCACUGAUUUUACUGCUGUUUAGCACCUUCUCACUGGAAGGCUGAAGCUAUCGGUCGGUGCUGAAAUGAAAUCUACUCUACAAAUAUUCUACAUAUUCUCCAGAAGGUCUGCAACAAAAUCUGUUCUAUCCUAUUUUUUAAUGAUGUCUUGAUGUCUUCUGUUUUUCACAGAGAUAUUAAAGAUCACCAUGAGGCUGCUGACCGUGUUUGUGUUUCUUUGUGUAAUGGUCCCUCUGAUCAUUACUGCUCAAAAAUCGGGCAGCAGUGGGGCAGAGAAUAAUCCACAAGAAGAGCAAGCUGUUGACAAGAGGAUCCUGUGGUAUUGGCGCAAAACUUAUCGUUGCGUUAGAUGGCGAUGGGUAUGGAGAAAGCGAUGGGGGAAAGACGUGAACGAAUAAUAUAUAUACGCUCACCACUGAUACCGAUUUUGUCUGGGUCUGAAAAAGAAGAUGAUUCCUGGUCUUUCAUGAAAAUGGUCCAUCAGACAGAGAAGCAAAUACUUUCAUCCAACUCCCUGAACUAUCAGUUUCCCCUUUUACAUCUUUACUUAUUUUCUUUUGCUGUAUUGCUGCAUAAAGAAUGAAGCAACAAGUGACACAAACUGGAGUCGACCGGACUGUCUCUUUUAAUAACAAAAACUAUUCAUUUCUGUUCUUAUUAUCUUCAUCAUUAAACUCUUAAGCAUUAAAUGAAAUUGGUCUCUGAGUCUGUCACAUGUCACCUUUUUAUUGGUCUAAACCCAAACACCAAAUUUGUUUUUCAUCUAUCUUCGUUUUAAAAUACCUAAAUAGAAAAUAACAAGUCUGACCUGCUAAUAUCUGACUGAGCUCAAAGCAUUUACUAAGAUCCUAAACAAUAACCUGAAUAAAGUAUUAAUAUUAAGUUGGUCUAAUGAUAAUUUCCAGAAUUGAUCUCAGCUACUGUUUGAUAUGCGAGUAAACAAAGCAGAUGAUAAAAGAAAAAGGACUCAUAAAAUACCUUUUCAAAAGGACACAUUUUAUUUUUGUCUUCAUUGAUACAAAUACAUUGUUGUCAUAUUUGACAACAAUAAGGAGAACAGUGGUUUUCCUCCCAACUUUUGACCAAUCAACUUAGUUUCCUGUUUAUCACACAUAAUAAAAAGCAUUUACUGCUGAGGCACAGCAGCCUUUGUCUCUGAGCCAGAGAGAAAGAGCUCCAUGGAGUUGUGUAAAAUAAUC